Molecule: ribosomal RNA, 339 nt
Filed under: uncultured Pseudomonadota bacterium
Lineage: Bacteria; Pseudomonadati; Pseudomonadota
Description: bacterial SSU rRNA
Rfam family: Bacterial small subunit ribosomal RNA
Source: RNAcentral
AACGAACGCUGGCGGCGUGCUUAACACAUGCAAGUCGAACGCGAAAGGGACUUCGGUCCCGAGUAGAGUGGCGCACGGGUGAGUAACGCGUAAGUAAUCUACCCCCGCAUUCGGAAUAACUCGUCGAAAGGUGAGCUAAUACCGGAUACGUUUAUCUUGAUGCGAAUGAUGAUAAAGAAAGGUGGCCUCUUCAUGAAAGCUACUGUGCAGGGAUGAGCUUGCGUACCAUUAGCUAGUUGGUAGGGUAAUGGCCUACCAAGGCGACGAUGGUUAGCGGGUCUGAGAGGAUGAUCCGCCACACUGGAACUGGAACACGGACCAGACUCCUACGGGAGGCAG